GAGGAAAGAGGAAGAGAGAAGCAGGUUAUACUCACAAUUAGGGCGAUCACCUCUUGUGGAGAUAGAGGCAGAGGAUCGCGGCUCUGCCUCCGACCCAGGCUGCACCUAUUUUACAUGCAAAGAUUUUGUAGCCUCCUGGAGACACAGGAACACGCCUGCCUCCAGAUGCUGGCACCGGCUCUCUCCUCUGUUCAGAGCAUUCUUCCCUCUCCCUGAAGCAAGCAGCCUUCAGGACUCACCUGUCAUGACCAUUGGGACAUCUGUCACAGCUCAAGCUACAGUAUCAUUCAUUCAGCAAAUACCACUGAGUGCCUUCUAUGUAGCCAACAUGCUCCAGUCACUGGGGACAUAGCAGCAAAACAGAAGGGGUCACAGUUCUGUGGGCACUAAAUGUCCUAAUGGAAGAGCUAAACC
RNAcentral lists this long non-coding RNA (414 nucleotides) under Heterocephalus glaber (naked mole-rat). RNAcentral describes it as "lncRNA (ENSHGLG00000050521.1)". Lineage: Eukaryota; Metazoa; Chordata; Mammalia; Rodentia; Bathyergidae. The record is from RNAcentral.